GAUUAACGCUGGCGGCGUGCAUAACACAUGCAAGUCGAACGAUGAAACUUUACUGACUUCUUCGGAAUGAUUUAAAGCGGAUUAGUGGCGAACGGGUGAGUAACGCGUGAGUAACCUGCCUUACACAAGGGGAUAGCCUCUGGAAACGGAGAAUAAUACCCUAUGAAACCAGACAAUCGCAUGAUAAUCUGGUCAAACUGUUUAGUGGUGUAAGAUGGACUUGCGUCUGAUUAGCUAGUUGGUGAGAUAAAAGCUCACCAAGGCAACGAUCAGUAGCCGGCUUUGGAGAGUGUACCGCCCCCUUGGGACUGGCACACGUCCCAGACCCCUCCGGGAGGCAGCAGUGGGGAAUUUUGCACAAUGGGGGAAACACUGAUGCCGCGACGCCGCGUGAUUUAGAAGACCUUCAGGUUGUAAAAAUCUUUUGUAUAGGAAGAAAAUGACAGUACUAUACGAAUAAGGUCCGGCUAAUUACGUG
Molecule: ribosomal RNA, 478 nt
Filed under: uncultured bacterium
Lineage: Bacteria
Description: partial 16S ribosomal RNA
Rfam family: Bacterial small subunit ribosomal RNA
Source: RNAcentral